UACGUAGGGGGCAAGCGUUGUCCGGAUUUAUUGGGCGUAAAGAGCGUGUAGGCGGCCGUACAGGUCAGCUGUGAAAACUCGAGGCUCAACCUCGAGACGUCGGUUGAAACCGUACGGCUAGAGUCCGGAAGAGGAGAGUGGAAUUCCCGGUGUAGCGGUGAAAUGCGCAGAUAUCGGGAAGAACACCCGUGGCGAAGGCGGCUCUCUGGGACGGCACUGACGCUGAGACGCGAAAGCGUGGGGAGCGAACAGG
RNAcentral lists this ribosomal RNA (253 nucleotides) under uncultured bacterium. Its description in RNAcentral is "partial 16S ribosomal RNA". It matches the Rfam family "Bacterial small subunit ribosomal RNA", at positions 524 to 776 of the family's 1533-position model. The record is from RNAcentral.